AUAAGACUGGCGGGCAUGACGCACACGAACACAACAUGUCUGAAAAGAAUGGUCCUAAGGGAACGCCGCUCUAGCACGCUGUCCAAGGGGCCAAAUCCGGCUAUUUAAGAGGGACGGUGGCACCCAACCCUAGCUGCACUCAUAUUUCCCUUCCCUCUGUACCACCACUUCCUAUCAACUCGCAGCUGGGAACUCGCCAUCCGCCUAUAGCCAUGGCCCGACAACGGAUCACCACUUAAGCAAUGCUCACCCCGGAGCGUUGGUUAGAGCUCCUUGAGGAUAUUCGGGACCGGCAGAAGAUCGGAUUGCAGCCGGCCUGCUUUUGGACUCGCCGGAGCAGAAGGAGGUACUUGGUUGCAUGUGUUGCAUGUGUUGUAUGGAUUAUGUACAUAGUACCAACUAGUUUUUGUGUUGCAUGCGUUGUAUGGAUUUGAGGUACUUGGUUGCACAAAAGACAUCCGUCUUCGUAGCUUUGAGAAGAAAGAAAUGAGAUCUUGCCUCCUGCCACCAGGGCGCCUUCGUCCGCCGCCGUCCUCCGGCGGCUCCCCUCCGCUGACGACCUCGGUCGUCGGUGGUGGGGGGUUGCCAGAUCCAUGCGUGUGGAUUGUUUUAGGAAUUAGUUUCUUAGGAUUUUGGGUUGUUCAUCGUCAUGGCUUCGGCGGAGGCAAUGGCAAUGCCGACUAAAUCUUCAGAUCCUUCCGCAACGAGGUGAUCCUCUUUUGGGGUGGAUUUGGAAACCAGACUGUUCAAGCAAGGAUGGUGCGGCGGCAGCGGUAUCCUCGCUGUGGACUUGUGUCCUCGGGCUCCGCCGUUGCGAUGACGUUUGGUCCAGUGCCGGCGUGGAGCUUGGGAGGUAGUUCAGGAGCGGAUGCAGAUUGUGGUCUGCAUCGACGGCAUCUGGAAGAAAGUGGGCCUGGGUUCGUGGUUCGUGGCAGGCAUGUAUGGUUUCCUCUUCCAAUGUCUUAGUUGGGCGGUGGUGCCAGAUAUGGAGUUCGAUGGCGUGUUCGGGGUGUUGCCCCGAUCUGAUUCCUUCAACGGCAAUGGCUUCGCCUUUAUUGGCGAGCCACCUUCGUGAUCCACAAAGUUGCAUAUCAGUGAUGGAGCCGCGUCGAAUUCGGGUGUGGAGAUGAUCCGUCAUUUUCUCUUUUGGUGGCUGCUAUGAUGGUGCCAGAGGCAGGUGACGGACGUUGGGGUCAAGCUCAGAGGAUUCUUCAGUCUUGUUUGUAAUUUUAUUUCUUGACUGGUGUUCUUGUGUGCAAAGGCUAGCAUUCUGCUAUCUUUUCAGUUUUGUCAGGUCGAUAUGUACGUGGCUUGUACUAUGAUCCUUAUGAUAUAAACGAGACAUGUAUUACCAUGCAAAAAGAAUUACUUGGUUGCACCCGACGAAAAAUGAGGAUGACCGGGCCCUCUCAGUGAACAUGCCUGGACGCGUCCGUAAACAUAUGGACGGAAUUUUCUAUAUACGGCUGUAGAUGCUCUAAGUGCUAC
Molecule: ribosomal RNA, 1488 nt
Filed under: Triticum aestivum (bread wheat)
Lineage: Eukaryota; Viridiplantae; Streptophyta; Magnoliopsida; Poales; Poaceae
Description: partial small subunit ribosomal RNA
Source: RNAcentral